Molecule: non-coding RNA, 544 nt
Organism: Onychostoma macrolepis
Lineage: Eukaryota; Metazoa; Chordata; Actinopteri; Cypriniformes; Cyprinidae
Source: the annotation of a RefSeq genome assembly
GUUUGAGCUGCAUUGUGAUGAUUCAUGAUGUUUAUAUGCAGUCUCUGGUUCAUUCUUCUCUUUUCAGGUGAUGCAAGAGGAGAAGGAAUAACACCUCUCUUCUCGUCUGAACUUGUUAUUAGUGGUGACUCCAUUACUUUGGGCUGCAAUUAUGACGGGACUUACAGCAGUGAUUCUCUCCUGUGGUAUCGUCAAUACAGCAGCUCCAAACCUGAGUUUUUGUUUCUGGUUAGUGAAGCCAAUCUUGAGCAGUCAGCUGACCCUCCAAUACCUGGAGUAUCUGCUAAAAUAAAUGAGGAGAAAACCCGUGUGGAUCUGAAGAUCUCCUCUGCUUCAGUAUCAGACUCUGCAAUGUACUACUGUGCUCUGCAGCCCACAGUGACAGGAAACACAUCAACACUGUACAGAAUUAAGAGGAAAACAACUAAAUGAACAACCUCAUGAACUAUACUAAAUAUGCAACCACUAAAUACUGUAUAUACCACUGGAAUGUUCAGCAGAGGUCAUGUAGUUUUAAAUCGUGCUUAAGCGAUUUUGGGUAAAA